Molecule: transfer RNA, 68 nt
Filed under: Marmota monax (woodchuck)
Lineage: Eukaryota; Metazoa; Chordata; Mammalia; Rodentia; Sciuridae
Description: tRNA.Ala
Source: RNAcentral
GGAUCGUGGCUCAGUGAUAGAGUGCUCGCCUAGCAUGCAGGAGGCACUGGGUUCGAUCCUCAGCACCA